Molecule: ribosomal RNA, 497 nt
Filed under: uncultured bacterium
Lineage: Bacteria
Description: partial 16S ribosomal RNA
Rfam family: Bacterial small subunit ribosomal RNA
Source: RNAcentral
GAUGAACGCUGGCGGCGUGCCUAAUACAUGCAAGUCGAGCGAACAGAUGAGGAGCUUGCUCCUCUGACGUUAGCGGCGGACGGGUGAGUAACACGUGGAUAACCUACCUAUAAGACUGGGAUAACUUCGGGAAACCGGAGCUAAUACCGGAUAAUAUAUUGAACCGCAUGGUUCAAUAGUGAAAGACGGUUUUGCUGUCACUUAUAGAUGGAUCCGCGCCGCAUUAGCUAUAUGGUAAGGUAACGGCUUACCAAGGCAACGAUCCGUAGCCGACCUGAGAGGGUGAUCGGCCACACUGGAACUGAGACACGGUCCAGACUCCUACGGGAGGCAGCAGUAGGGAAUCUUCCGCAAUGGGCGAAAGCCUGACGGAGCAACGCCGCGUGAGUGAUGAAGGUCUUCGGAUCGUAAAACUCUGUUAUUAGGGAAGAACAAAUGUGUAAGUAACUAUGCACGUCUUGACGGUACCUAAUCAGAAAGCCACGGCUAACUACGUG